RNAcentral lists this non-coding RNA (45 nucleotides) under Schistosoma bovis. Lineage: Eukaryota; Metazoa; Platyhelminthes; Trematoda; Strigeidida; Schistosomatidae. The record is from RNAcentral.
AUCCAGUUGACGAGUCCUAAAUAGGACGAAACACGCAUCCUGGAU